RNAcentral lists this ribosomal RNA (435 nucleotides) under uncultured bacterium. Its description in RNAcentral is "bacterial SSU rRNA". It matches the Rfam family "Bacterial small subunit ribosomal RNA", at positions 335 to 767 of the family's 1533-position model. The record is from RNAcentral.
ACUCCUACGGGAGGCUGCAGUAGGGAAUAUUGGUCAAUGGGCGAGGGCCUGAACCAGCCAUGCCGCGUGCAGGAAGACGGCCUUCUGGGUUGUAAACUGCUUUUGGCCGGGAACAAAAAGCCCCUGCGGGGGAAAUUGAGUGUACCGGCAGAAUAAGCACCGGCUAACUCCGUGCCAGCAGCCGCGGUAAUACGGAGGGUGCAAGCGUUGUCCGGAUUUAUUGGGUUUAAAGGGUGCGUAGGCGGGCCAAUAAGUCAGUGGUGAAAGCCCACAGCUCAACUGUGGAACCGCCAUUGAUACUGUUGGCCUUGAGUACCGUUGGGGCAGGCGGAAUUUAUGGUGUAGCGGUGAAAUGCAUAGAUACCAUAAAGAAACACCGAUAGCGUAGGCAGCUUGCUAAACGGUAACUGACGCUGAGGCACGAAAGCAUGGGGA